Lepisosteus oculatus (spotted gar) is the source of this 119-nucleotide ribosomal RNA. NCBI's taxonomy places the organism in Eukaryota, Metazoa, Chordata, Actinopteri, Semionotiformes, Lepisosteidae. The record is from Ensembl.
GCUAGCAGCCAUAUCACCCUGCAACUCACAACUGGUAACCCACUGCUGCUAAGCAGGUGUGAGCCUGGUCAGUACCUGGAUGGGAGACCUCCUGGGGAAAACUAAGGUUGCCGCUGGAA